GACGAACGCUGGCGGCGUGCCUAAUACAUGCAAGUAGAACGCACAGUUUAUACCGUAGCUUGCUACACCAUAGACUGUGAGUUGCGAACGGGUGAGUAACGCGUAGGUAACCUGCCUGGUAGCGGGGGAUAACUAUUGGAAACGAUAGCUAAUACCGCAUAAUAUUAAUUAUUGCAUGAUAAUUAAUUGAAAGGUGCAAUUGCACCACUACCAGAUGGACCUGCGUUGUAUUAGCUAGUAGGUGAGGUAACGGCUCACCUAGGCGACGAUACAUAGCCGACCUGAGAGGGUGAUCGGCCACACUGGGACUGAGACACGGCCCAGACUCCUACGGGAGGCAGCAGUAGGGAAUCUUCGGCAAUGGACGAAAGUCUGACCGAGCAACGCCGCGUGAGUGAAGAAGGUUUUCGGAUCGUAAAGCUCUGUUGUAAGAGAAGAACGAGUGUGAGAGUGGAAAGUUCACACUGUGACG
RNAcentral lists this ribosomal RNA (472 nucleotides) under Streptococcus gordonii. Its description in RNAcentral is "bacterial SSU rRNA". It matches the Rfam family "Bacterial small subunit ribosomal RNA", at positions 28 to 474 of the family's 1533-position model. Lineage: Bacteria; Bacillati; Bacillota; Bacilli; Lactobacillales; Streptococcaceae. The record is from RNAcentral.